Molecule: ribosomal RNA, 468 nt
Filed under: uncultured bacterium
Lineage: Bacteria
Description: partial 16S ribosomal RNA
Rfam family: Bacterial small subunit ribosomal RNA
Source: RNAcentral
GACGAACGCUGGCGGCGUGCUUAACACAUGCAAGUCGAACGGAAAGGCCCUGCUUUUGUGGGGUGCUCGAGUGGCGAACGGGUGAGUAACACGUGAGUAACCUGCCCUUGACUUUGGGAUAACUUCAGGAAACUGGGGCUAAUACCGGAUAGGAGCUCCUGCUGCAUGGUGGGGGUUGGAAAGUUUCGGCGGGUGGGGAUGGACGCGCGGCUUAUCAGCUUGUUGGUGGGGUAGUGGCUUACCAAGGCUUUGACGGGUAGCCGGCCUGAGAGGGUGACCGGCCACAUUGGGACUGAGAUACGGCCCAGACUCCUACGGGAGGCAGCAGUGGGGAAUAUUGCACAAUGGGCGGAAGCCUGAUGCAGCAACGCCGCGUGCGGGAUGACGGCCUUCGGGUUGUAAACCGCUUUCGCCCGUGACGAAGCGUGAGUGACGGUAAUGGGUAAAGAAGCACCGGCUAACUACGUG